RNAcentral lists this small nuclear RNA (102 nucleotides) under Notamacropus eugenii (tammar wallaby). Lineage: Eukaryota; Metazoa; Chordata; Mammalia; Diprotodontia; Macropodidae. The record is from RNAcentral.
GGGCUUACUUUAGCAGCACUUAUACUAAAAUUGACAGAAGGAGAUUAGCACAGUCCCUACACAAAGGAUGACAUGCAAAUUUUUGAAGUGUUCCAUAUUUUA